UCGCGGCUUAUCACCGGCAGUCUCCUUAGAGUGCUCAACUAAAUGGUAGCAACUAAGGACGGGGGUUGCGCUCGUUGCGGGACUUAACCCAACAUCUCACGACACGAGCUGACGACAGCCAUGCACCACCUGUGAAGGUGUCCCGAAGGAAAACCGUGUUUCCACGGCGGUCACCUACAUGUCAAGCCCAGGUAAGGUUCUUCGCGUUGCGUCGAAUUAAACCACAUGCUCCGCUGCUUGUGCGGGUCCCCGUCAAUUCCUUUGAGUUUCGACCUUGCGGCCGUACUCCCCAGGCGGACGACUUAACGCGUUAGCUAAGCCACUGCCGGAUUGAUUACCAGCAACAGCGAGUAUCUAUCGUUUACAGCGUGGACUAC
This 377-nucleotide unclassified non-coding RNA is filed under the name uncultured bacterium. RNAcentral describes it as "contains 16S-23S intergenic spacer region". The record is from RNAcentral.